This is a non-coding RNA of Physcomitrium patens, 1210 nucleotides long. The record is from RefSeq and is a predicted model, not a curated record. Lineage: Eukaryota; Viridiplantae; Streptophyta; Bryopsida; Funariales; Funariaceae.
AGAGUAGACAUGUGGGCAAAACCAUGUGGUGGUGGUGGUGGGUUCUGAUUUUGUGGAUUCGCCUGCAGCUCGUUCGAACAUCCUUCAGGUGGUUGUUGGGAGCUGCGUGUCUACCCAUCCCACAGUAAACCUCGGAUAGAAGAAGUAUCCUCCUUCUGUCGGGACUCCGGUAUCGAGAAGGCCUCGGAGAAGAGGAUCGACGUCGGUGACCGGGCGGCCAAUGAGGGUACUGCUAGAGCCUCUGAAAGUGAAGCUAACAAUGCUGGCAAAGUCGCUGGUGGAAUGCGGGAUCAGUUGAGACAAACGUCCUCCGGUGCCUCAAAAGUUGCAAAUAACAAGACAAGUUCUUCCGGUUGGUUUCAACAAAUUGGUGACGCUGUUUUCAAUGCUUACGAUUCAUUUCUGGAUAUGCUGGAGAACGCCACUCCCAAAAAGUAGGUUCUCUCUUUGCAAGGUAGGACUGUGCAGACCGUAUCCCAGCGUGCGAAGAGCUUCAGCGUUGGGUUGAAGAUUCUUCAGUGCGUUGUUACUGUUACUGCAAGUUCUCGAACGUUCACACAAACGUUCUGAAAAUCAUUUCCGUUUUGCUUCUUGCCUCCUUCGGUACCCUCUCCCGCAAUGCCUAAACAUUCCCCGCCUUCAAUCCCCAUGUAUACACUCGUCCGUUUUUUAGCUUUUCUUGUGGUCUUCCAAGUUUUCUGCUGUCGUUGUUCUCAUGGUUAUUUGCGUUUACGGUAAUACUGCUCUAGUGUAACUAUUGAUCAAAACCUCAGACUCUUCGUGUACUUGACAGUGAAAACAACGCAAGGGUGCUGAGGCUAGUCUACUUGAUCUUAUCCUUUAUCACUGGAGAAGUCCUCAAUACUUGCGGUGAUCAAUAGCUAAGUUAUGUUCUCAGCAAAUGUUAGAGAAGGCAAUUGUAGGGCGGUUGCCUGACUAUAUGUCCAGUGGCCACACCCCGAUGAGUGUAGACAUUGUAAUGCAUAACAAUAUACAUUAAGAAAGAUUCAAGCCACGUACUCCAAGGACUUGCAGUGCAACAAGGAAAAGGAAGGUUAAUUUUUAGAGAUCAGUAUAUAGUGCCUGAAUGGUGCUCAAAGAUAGAGAAACUUAAUGGGAAAAAAACUCGUGGAUAAAAACGUCAUGAAUUGGUCAGCUUCAAUUGAUGGUUGAAUCAGCAUUAAUGAAAAUGAUCACUUUUUGUUGCACA